This 495-nucleotide ribosomal RNA is filed under the name uncultured bacterium. RNAcentral describes it as "partial 16S ribosomal RNA". It matches the Rfam family "Bacterial small subunit ribosomal RNA", at positions 28 to 507 of the family's 1533-position model. The record is from RNAcentral.
GACGAACGCUGGCGGCGUGCCUAAUACAUGCAAGUAGAACGCUGACGGAGGAGCUUGCUUCUCCGGAUGAGUUGCGAACGGGUGAGUAACGCGUAGGUAACCUGCCUUGUAGCUUGGGAGAACUAUUGGAAACGAUAGCUAAUACCGCAUAAGAGUAGACGUUGCAUGACAUUUGCUGAAAAUUUGCACUUGCAUCACUACCAUAUGGCCCUGCGUUGUAUUGGCUAGUUGGGGAGGUAACGGCUCACCAAAGCGGCGCUACAUAACCGGCCUGAGAGGGUGAUCGGCCAAACUGGGACUGGGACACGGCCCAGACUUCUACGGGAGGCAGCAGUAGGGGAACUUUGGCAAUGGACGGAAGUCUGACCGAGCAACGCCGGGUGAGUGAAGAAGGUUUUCGGAUCGUAAAGCUCUGUUGGAAGGGAAGGACGAGUGUGAGAGUGGAAAGUUCACGCUGUGACGGUAUCUUAAGAGAAAGGAACGGCUAACUACGUG